CUGAGCCACUUCAAUCUUGGCAGCCUGAUCCACCUGUUAGUUAUUUUGAUGUUCUUCAGUGGCCCGACUCUUGGGUACAUGAGCAUCUACGUGACGUACUUUUCCAAGCAGAUUCUCUAGCUGGGACGCAACAUCUUGCCACAUAGCCACAGCCCAGGAUGGUGU
This is a long non-coding RNA of Aquila chrysaetos chrysaetos, 165 nucleotides long. RefSeq lists it as uncharacterized. The record is from RefSeq and is a predicted model, not a curated record. The transcript is spliced from 3 exons. Lineage: Eukaryota; Metazoa; Chordata; Aves; Accipitriformes; Accipitridae.